CUGCCCUCUCAAUACAUUUUUUCUGGCCAAACUUCCAAUUUAGUAUACAGAAGAACUUCCUCAGUAUAGGAAUCCACAGAGACCAGCAAAGAGGAUCAGCACAGAGGGCAAGCCCUCUUUUCACGAUAUCAGCUGUGGUAUUCAGGAUACAACUCGGCAGUUAUUCCAGAACAGCAGCUUUGUUCUCAUUUUAGAGAAAAAUAAAGAAAAAUCAGCUAGCCAUCACUUUGUGAAUGUGUACUUCAGUUG
Molecule: long non-coding RNA, 249 nt
Organism: Carcharodon carcharias (great white shark)
Lineage: Eukaryota; Metazoa; Chordata; Chondrichthyes; Lamniformes; Lamnidae
Exons: 3
Source: RefSeq, a predicted model, not a curated record